RNAcentral lists this long non-coding RNA (2158 nucleotides) under Homo sapiens (human). Its description in RNAcentral is "non-protein coding lnc-COL6A3-4:2". The record is from RNAcentral. Lineage: Eukaryota; Metazoa; Chordata; Mammalia; Primates; Hominidae.
UCAUGGUGUGAACACUAGAGUGUACUUACACAAACCUAGGUGGAAUAGCCCAGGGUCUGCAACCCUGGGGUUGGUACCAGUCUGUGGCCUGUUAGGAACUGGGCCGCACAGCAGGAGGUGAGCAGGGGGUGAGCGACAUUACCUCUUGGGCUCUACCACCUGUCAGAUCAGCAGCAGCGUUAGAUUCUCAUAGGGGCAUGAACCCUAUUGUGAACUGCGCAUACAAUGGAUCUGGGUCGUGCACUCCUUAUGGGAAUCGAAUGCCUGAUGAUCUGAGGUGAAACAGUUUCAUCCCAAAAAAAUCGGUCCCUGGUGCCAAAAAGUGGUGUAGCCCACAGCGUACCCAGGCUAUCUAUUGCUCCUACACUGCAAAGUCCUACAGCAUGUUACUGUACUGAAUACUGUAGGCAGCUGUAGCUCCAUGCCCUGUGUGUGUUUAUCUAAACAUAUCCAAAUGUGGAAAAAGUACUAUAAAAAUAUGGUAUAGAAGAUAAAAAAUGGUAUACACUUACCAUGAGUGGAGCUUGCAGGACUGGACAUUGCCCUGGGUGAGUGAGUGAGUGAGGGGCUGGUGAAUGGGAGGGCCUUGGGGAUGACUGUACACUACUGUAGAUUUUAACCCAACCACUGUGUACUUAGGUUAAAUUAAUUUAAAAAAUACAGUCAUUGUGCUAGAAUGUUACAAUGGCUCUGAUUUAAAAAAAAAAAAAAAAAAAAGGCAGCCUUCUUGUACUCAGAAAGCCCCGGGGGGCCUGGCAAUAGAAAUGUUUUAGUUCCACUAUAAUCUAUGGGACCACCUCCCUAUAUGUGGUCUGUCACUGUGUGGCACGUGACUGUGAAUUGUGCCAAGUCAAGCAAUGAACAGCCCUGUGGAAAAGCAGAGCAUGGUGUGAGAGCACAUUUAUGCAAAGGCAGCUCAGUGUUCUCUGCCACAGGUGCAGGCAGCCUUGGAGGGUCAGAGGAGGGAGGAACGCCAGAAUUCAGCAGGACUGCAGAUCCUGGAGCCACCAGCCCUCUGUUCAGAUCCUGGCCCCGCCACUCAGUAGCUGAGUGAUCACGGCCCGCUCACUUAUCCUUUCUGAUCUUCAGUCUCCUCACUUGUAAGUGGGGAUAGCGAGCCUGCCCAUCGCCGAGGGUUGUUGUAGGACCGGAGGUGACAAUAUGUGCAAAGUACAGGCACAGACCUGGCAGUGGCUCCUGAGGGAGGUGGCAUCCUUCCCUCUCUAAGGAGGGCACGGGGUCUGGGAACGCUAGGAAGCCUGUUCGAGGUUGGAGGAACCUUGUGCUCCUCUGCCCUGGGCUGAGUGGGCACUUAGCCCUUCUGCUGCGUUCAGCAGUGACAGCACUCGCAUCUCUGUGGCCAUCGCCACCGGAAGAAGCUGGGACGUGUGCGGCAUACGGCCGUUUGGGAACUGCGAUCGGUGAGCUGCUGGGGAUGCGAUGCCUGACGCGACCCCGCUUCAGAGCGUGGACUCCGAGGGAUUCUCCUGGUCUCAUCUGUCCUUGCCGCCAAGAUGGAUUAUCUGCAGGAACUUGGACCAACUUCACGGAACCUUCCUUAUGUUCUGUUCAUACUGCCCAGACCUGCCCUGGCUUCCCUGUUGCUCCUGAGGCAGAAGAGGCCUUUGGACUUACUCGGCCCCACAUCUGUACAGUCCAGAGAUGCUGGGGGAAUUAACACCACAAAAGGUUGACUUUAGAUCAAUGUGAGACAAGUAUUUCAACUAUGAUUGUGUAUUUGUCAGUGCCUCUUUGUAAUUCUGUGAGUUUUUUCCUUCAUUUAUUUGAUAACAUACUGUAUAAUAAUGCACAUUUUAAAUUCUCAUGUCUUCCUGGUUAACAUUUUUAUUUAGUCCUAAUGUCGUGGGCUUCUUUGCUGGGGAUUAUGGUGUCAGCAUCCUUUUAGGGAUCAUUUUUCUGCCUACCACAACUAUGAUUAACUUUUUGCCAACAAUUUUGAGAAUAUAGGUGAAGUGUGUAUUUUCUUGGGAAAAAUCUGGUUGCUUAUUUUAAUUGGUAAUACAGUAACACUUCCUUUUUGUUGAUUCUUGAUCUGGGAUGUAAACAUUUCUUCUUUCAGUGUUCAAAUUUUCUUGUCAUUUCAUGUUAUGUGUUUCUGUUGUAAAGUGUAUAUAUAUUUGAAUUUUGUUUUAUCAUC